GUGCCAGCAGCCGCGGUAACACGUAGGGUGCGAGCGUUGUCCGGAAUUAUUGGGCGUAAAGAGCUCGUAGGCGGUGUGUCGCGUCGGCCGUGAAAACCUGGGGCUUAACUCUGGGCUUGCGGUCGAUACGGGCAUCACUGGAGUUCGGCAGGGGAGACUGGAAUUCCUGGUGUAGCGGUGAAAUGCGCAGAUAUCAGGAGGAACACCGGUGGCGAAAGCGGGUCUCUGGGCCGAUACUGACNCUGAAGANCNAAAACGUGGGGAGCGAACAGGAUUANAUACCCUGGUAGUCC
This 293-nucleotide ribosomal RNA is filed under the name uncultured microorganism. RNAcentral describes it as "partial 16S ribosomal RNA". It matches the Rfam family "Bacterial small subunit ribosomal RNA", at positions 505 to 796 of the family's 1533-position model. The record is from RNAcentral.